GACGAACGCUGGCGGCGUGCUUAACACAUGCAAGUCGAACGGAAAGGCCCUGCUUUUGUGGGGUGCUCGAGUGGCGAACGGGUGAGUAACACGUGAGUAACCUGCUCUUGACUUUGGGAUAACUUCAGGAAACUGGGGCUAAUACCGGAUAGGAGCUCCUGCUGCAUGGUGGGGGUUGGAAAGUUUCGGCGGUUGGGGAUGGACUCGCGGCUUAUCAGCUUGUUGGUGGGGUAGUGGCUUACCAAGGCUUUGACGGGUAGCCGGCCUGAGAGGGUGACCGGCCACAAUGGGACUGAGAUACGGCCCAGUCUCCUACGGGAGACAGCAGUGGGGAGUAUUACACAAUGGGCGGAAGCCUGAUGCGGCAGCGCCGCGUGCGGAAUGACGGCCUUCGGGUUGUAAACCGCUUUCGCCUAUGACGAAGCUUGAGUGACGGUAAUGAGUAAAGAAGCACCGGCUAACUACGUG
RNAcentral lists this ribosomal RNA (468 nucleotides) under uncultured bacterium. RNAcentral's name for it is "partial 16S ribosomal RNA". It matches the Rfam family "Bacterial small subunit ribosomal RNA", at positions 28 to 507 of the family's 1533-position model. The record is from RNAcentral.